Molecule: long non-coding RNA, 633 nt
Organism: Phyllostomus discolor (pale spear-nosed bat)
Lineage: Eukaryota; Metazoa; Chordata; Mammalia; Chiroptera; Phyllostomidae
Exons: 4
Source: RefSeq, a predicted model, not a curated record
AGCGCAACUUCCUGACUAGGGGCCAAUCAGCGGGCCCUCCAGGAAGUCCAGGCGCAGGGGUGGGCCGGGAGCUUAGCUUCCGGUGGCAGGGUCUGGGGAAGGGGCGGCAGGCGCCAUGUCCGGCCGCGAAGGUGGCAAGAAGAAGCCCCUGAAACAGCCCAAGAAGCAGGCCAAGGAGAUGGACGAGGAAGAUAAGGCAUUCAAGCAGAAGCAAAAAGAGGAGCAGAAGAAACUUGAGGAGCUAAAAGCGAAGGCCGCGGGGAAGGGCCCCCUGGCCACGGGUGGAAUUAAGAAAUCUGGCAAAAAGUGAGCUGUUCCCGUGACGGGGGCACUGGUGGUCCUUCAUCCCCUUCCUGCUUUAACAUCUGGGUUCCCUGCCAUAACAUCUUUUGCCACCUGUAGCUAGGAUGAAGUGUCAUCUGGGAGCCUGCUGUACAUUUAAGAAUAAACUUUUGUAAAAAAUAAUCAUGACAAUAGCCACGCAGUGGCUCGUCGUCUUAGCUCUUCUCCGUCUGCCAUCUCAGCCUCGGCUGUGAGGUCAGAGGGGACCCAGCCCGGGGUCCUGUCCCAGUGUGUUCCUCACACUCGGUUCCCUCCGGAAUUCUAUACCACCUGGAAUUAAACCAACUCGUU